AGUGAACGCUGGCGGUAGGCCUAACACAUGCAAGUCGAACGGCAGCACAGUAAGAGCUUGCUCUUACGGGUGGCGAGUGGCGGACGGGUGAGGAAUACAUCGGAAUCUACUUUUUCGUGGGGGAUAACGUAGGGAAACUUACGCUAAUACCGCAUACGACCUACGGGUGAAAGCAGGGGAUCUUCGGACCUUGCGCGACUGAAUGAGCCGAUGUCGGAUUAGCUAGUUGGCGGGGUAAAGGCCCACCAAGGCGACGAUCCGUAGCUGGUCUGAGAGGAUGAUCAGCCACACUGGAACUGAGACACGGUCCAGACUCCUACGGGAGGCAGCAGUGGGGAAUAUUGGACAAUGGGCGCAAGCCUGAUUCAGCCAUACCGCGUGGGUGAAGAAGGCCUUCGGGUUGUAAAGCCCUUUUGUUGGGAAAGAAAAGCAGCAGGUUAAUACCCCGCUGUUCUGACGGUACCCAAAGAAUAAGCACCGGCUAACUUCGUG
This 492-nucleotide ribosomal RNA is filed under the name uncultured bacterium. Its description in RNAcentral is "partial 16S ribosomal RNA". It matches the Rfam family "Bacterial small subunit ribosomal RNA", at positions 29 to 507 of the family's 1533-position model. The record is from RNAcentral.